CCCCCCUCAGGAUGGCACCUGGAGAGUUUCCAGUACUCUCCCAGUCUUGACUGUGGGAGGAAGAGUCAAGCAGAGGCCUGACCAUUCCAUUCCUAGCUUGGCCAGUGGCUAGUGAGUGGGAGGCAAUCUGAUACAAGG
This is a non-coding RNA of Ornithorhynchus anatinus (platypus), 138 nucleotides long. NCBI's taxonomy places the organism in Eukaryota, Metazoa, Chordata, Mammalia, Monotremata, Ornithorhynchidae. The record is from Rfam.